AUGAAGCAAGUCCUCCGCCAUCGCCACCGGCACCGCCAGGACCAAAGGUUACUACUGCUCCAAAAUUAAGGUCAAAAGCAUGGAAAAACUUCAGUAGGAUUGAACAACCUAAUCCUGAUGAAGUAGUGGUAGAGUGCAAUAUUUGUCAUACUAUACUUAGAGCGCCCUCGAAGAAUGGAACAUCUAGUUUGUUAAGGCAUACUGCUCAAGUGCAUCCACAUAAUACAAAUGAAGUGAAUAACUAUUUUCUGAAAACUGAAAAGAAUGCGGAUGGCUCACAUUCAGUUAGGAACACAAAGUUGGACAUGGAAACUAUUAGAGCUGCAAUCUCUAUGUUCCUAGUUGGGGGUUCACAUGCAUUUAGUGUGAUAGAAGAAGUGGGGUUCAAAAAAAAUGAUUGGUGCUGCUUGUCCUCAGUUUAAGAUUGUUAGUCGGUACACAAUUAGAAGGGAUAUCAUGGCAAUGUUUGAAAGAGAGAGGACUGAAUUGAGAGAAAUUAUCAGCAACAGCCCUAGUAGAGUUAGCUUCACCACGGACAAUUGGAAAUCAGAUGUGACAAAGUUUAGUUAUAUUUGUAUUACUUGUCAUUAUGUUGAUGAUGCUUGGAGACUGAACAAAGGAUAAUAUGGUUUAAAAAGUUGAAUCCACCUUAUGAUGGGGCUACAAUUGCUGAUGAAGUCCAUUUAUGCUUUCGUGAGUGGAAGGUUGACACCAAAAUAAUGUGCAUGACUCUUGAUAAUGCUGCAUACAAUGAUUCAAUGAUCAACACUUUGAGAACUACAUUGCUGCCUAAAGGUGUGUUACCAUUGUUUGGAACCUUCUUUCAAGUCCGAUGUUGUGCACGCAUUUUAAAUCUGAUUGUCCAAGUUGGUCUGAAACUUAUUGAUAAAUCUGCUGACAAGAUUAGAGAGGGCAUUCAAUAUAUCAAAAUUUCUAGCAAUCAUAUUCACAAGUUCUAUGAAACUGCCAAGAACAUUUACCAUUUGAAAGAAGAUAAAAGGCUGAGAGUAGAUAUGCCUCCAAUUUAUAAAGUGACAUGCACAUUGUCCGGGUCAAAGUAUGCUACCUCCAAUUUGUAUUUCCAGUGUGUGUUCUUGGUUCAAUCAUGUGUCUUGAAGGCAUCUAGUGAAGUACAUGAGUUCAUGUCUCCAAUGCUAGCUCCAAUGAAAGAGAAGUUUGAUAAGUAUUGGGCUGAUUAUAAUGUCUUCUUGUCUUGUAUUGCUGUCCUUGAUCCCCGUUGCAAGCUUGGUUUUGUUAAAUACUGUUAUGGAAAACUUUAUGCCCCCGACGAGGCAGAACGUCGGAUGCAUGAAGUUAAGAAAACUUUGGAGAAUUUGUUUGCUGAAUAUAAUGGUGCUGCUGUUAGUCAAACAUUAUCAGAUGGUGCUACAAACAGUAGGGGAAGUAGGGGAGAUGGUUCUGAUAUGUUUGAUGACUAUGAGAGUUACAUUCAAUCUCAACGGACAAAUGUAGAGAGGUCUCAAUUGGAUCUUUACUUGGAAGAAACUCCUAGAAAAUUGACUGAUGAGUUGGAUGUCUUGGAAUUUUGGAGCAAAUCAUCUAUGCGAUACCCUGAGCUUGCAUCAAUGGCUCGGGAUAUUCUUGCUGUCCCCAUUUCUAGUGUUGCUUCGGAGCAAGCAUUUAUCAUGAGUCGCAACGUUAUAACACCUAACCGAGCUUCACUUAAGCCUAAGACCAUCGAGGCUUUAAUGUGUCUCCAAGAUUGGUAUCGUUGGAAGAUGUCUCAGAAUGAAGGUACAAUCAAUUGCCUAUUGUUGUUUCAUAUUAACAUCACCAUUGCACACAUUACCAUUGAUUCUUGUAUUGUUUGUUUUGUAGAAAUGAGCACUACAAGAGGUGGACCUUCAAGUUCUCAUGCAGAUGAGUUAUCUUCAGAUUCGGUUUGUAUUCAUUCAUGUCAUUUCUAUCUAACUUACUAUCUUGUCUUGUUUACCAUAUAUCAGUUAUGCACUCCUUUACUACCUUGUCUUGUUUGUUGAUAUCAAACUUGCUUUCGUGCUUCAUGCCAUUCCUAUUUUUCUUAUUUUCAACUUGUGCUUUCAUCCAGGAAAAUGAUGAAGUUUAGAUAGCUUGAUGGAACAAGGAAGAGAUGGAUUCAAAGGAGUCAUCAGCUUGUGGCUUUGAACUUGCUAUUUGAUAUCUUUAUUAUGUAAUGGUUGUUAUGUAAUCGACUUGUUGAACUAUGUGUGGACUUAUUGAACUAUGUUGUGGACUUACCGAACCAUGUUGCGGACUUGUCAAACU
RNAcentral lists this long non-coding RNA (2265 nucleotides) under Triticum aestivum (bread wheat). Its description in RNAcentral is "long non-coding RNA (TAES_LNC010577)". Lineage: Eukaryota; Viridiplantae; Streptophyta; Magnoliopsida; Poales; Poaceae. The record is from RNAcentral.